GCACUAGUAGCUCAGUUGGAUAGAGUUACGGACUUCGAAUCCGGAGGUCGCAGGUUCGACUCCUGUCUGGUGCA
This 74-nucleotide transfer RNA is filed under the name Clostridium sp. 19966. RNAcentral's name for it is "tRNA-Arg". It matches the Rfam family "tRNA". Rfam says of the family: Transfer RNA (tRNA) molecules are approximately 80 nucleotides in length. Lineage: Bacteria; Bacillati; Bacillota; Clostridia; Eubacteriales; Clostridiaceae. The record is from RNAcentral.